RNAcentral lists this ribosomal RNA (441 nucleotides) under uncultured bacterium. RNAcentral's name for it is "bacterial SSU rRNA". It matches the Rfam family "Bacterial small subunit ribosomal RNA", at positions 958 to 1397 of the family's 1533-position model. The record is from RNAcentral.
AACGCGAAGAACCUUACCUACCCUUGACAUCCUCGGAAUCCGGCAGAGAUGCUGGAGUGCCUUCGGGAACCGAGUGACAGGUGCUGCAUGGCUGUCGUCAGCUCGUGUCGUGAGAUGUUGGGUUAAGUCCCGUAACGAGCGCAACCCCUAUCUUUAGUUGCCAGCGGGUCAUGCCGGGAACUCUAAAGAGACUGCCGGUGAUAAGCCGGAGGAAGGCGGGGACGAGGUCAAGUCAUCAUGGCCCUUACGGGUAGGGCUACACGCGUGCUACAAUGGACGGUACAAAGGGCAGCUAAGCCGCGAGGUGGAGCAAAUCUCUUGAAAGCCGUUCUUAGUCCGGAUUGGAGUCUGAAACUCGACUCCAUGAAGUUGGAAUCGCUAGUAAUCGCGGAUCAGAACGCCGCGGUGAAUACGUUCCCGGGCCUUGUACACACCGAUAGC